UACGAAGGGGGCUAGCGUUGUUCGGAUUUACUGGGCGUAAAGCGCACGUAGGCGGAUCGUUAAGUCGGGGGGUGAAAUCCUGGAGCUCAACUCCAGAACUGCCUUCGAUACUGGCGAUCUUGAGUCCGGAAGAGGUGAGUGGAACUCCUAGUGUAGAGGUGGAAUUCGUAGAUAUUAGGAAGAACACCAGUGGCGAAAGGCGGCUCACUGGUCCGGUACU
Molecule: ribosomal RNA, 220 nt
Filed under: uncultured bacterium
Lineage: Bacteria
Description: partial 16S ribosomal RNA
Rfam family: Bacterial small subunit ribosomal RNA
Source: RNAcentral